GCAAGGUAGCAGGACCCAUCUUCCCAGGCGCUCACAGCCCGGCGACCCGGGUCCGCCCCAUCGCUAGGAGAGCCAGGCUACCAAGGAGAGCCAAGUUGGGACGCACACAGUCAGAGCCAGAGCACCAGUCUGGGAGAGAGGAUGUUCACAGAGAAGAUCAUACCAUUGGCUGUUGCUGAGAAGUCCCUAAGGAAGGUCACUGGGGAUGUCGAGGACAGAGGGGCAGAGUCUCACAGAAACUAAUAGACAAAGUAGUAAAGACGAUCUGUGGUUGCUGGAAGGGCCCAAAUAGCCAAAGCAGUUCUUGCAGAAAGAACAAAGCCCAGAGGGAUUGCAAUAUGAGACCUCAAAAUGUACUACAGAACCAUGGUGACAGCACCAGCAUGCUACCGGCAACAGACCAAACACGACCAGAUGAAUAGAACAGAGGGCCCCAAGAGAAAGCCAUUCACAUCAAAGAUCCCAAAGCAGUGGGGAAAAGACUUGACAACUGGUGCUGGAGGAACCCGAUGUCCACAGGAGGAAGAACAAAGCUAGGUUCCCUACCACACUGUGCAAAAAUUCGUUUACACUUGAUCAGAGACCUUAAUGUAGGAUCUGAGACUUGGACGCUGCCCUACUUCAUGAUACAGACAGACAAGGAUGUUCUGGAGAGGACCUCAGCAGACUGAGAAAUCAUAGCCCAAAGUGUCAAAUGGGAACGUGUGAAAUUAGAAGUGUCUGGAUUAGCAAAGGAAACAACUAAGUAAACGCAGAAUGGGAGAAGGCCUUUGCCAGCCCUCCAUCUGACAAGGGGAUAGGAUCCAUAAUAUAUAAAGAGUUCAAACAAAUAAACAUAAAAA
Molecule: non-coding RNA, 842 nt
Organism: Peromyscus maniculatus bairdii (prairie deer mouse)
Lineage: Eukaryota; Metazoa; Chordata; Mammalia; Rodentia; Cricetidae
Source: RefSeq, a predicted model, not a curated record